This 497-nucleotide ribosomal RNA is filed under the name uncultured bacterium. Its description in RNAcentral is "partial 16S ribosomal RNA". It matches the Rfam family "Bacterial small subunit ribosomal RNA", at positions 28 to 507 of the family's 1533-position model. The record is from RNAcentral.
GACGAACGCUGGCGGCGUGCCUAAUACAUGCAAGUUGAGCGAUGAAGCUUGGUGCUUGCACCAAUUUGAAGAGCAGCGAACGGGUGAGUAACGCGUGGGGAAUCUGCCUUUGAGCGGGGGACAACUUUUGGAAACGAAUGCUAAUACCGCAUAACAACUUUAAACAUAAGUUUUAAGUUUGAAAGAUGCAAUUGCAUCACUCAAAGAUGAUCCCGCGUUGUAUUAGCUAGUUGGUGAGGUAAAGGCUCACCAAGGCGAUGAUACAUAGGCGACCGGAGAGGGUGGACGGCCAAAAUGGGAAGGAGAAAAGGCACAAAAUCCUAAGGGAGGCAGCAAGAGGGAAACGUGGGCAAUGGAGGAAAGUCAGACCGAGAAAAGCCGCGUGAGUGAAGAAGGUUGUCGGAUCGUAAAAAACUGUUGGUAGAGAAGAAAGAUGGUGAGAGUGGAAAGCACAUAAAGUGACGGUAACUACCCAGAAAGGGACGGCUAACUACGUG